This 72-nucleotide transfer RNA is filed under the name Diaphorina citri (Asian citrus psyllid). It matches the Rfam family "tRNA". Rfam says of the family: Transfer RNA (tRNA) molecules are approximately 80 nucleotides in length. Their secondary structure includes four short double-helical elements and three loops (D, anti-codon, and T loops). The record is from Rfam by way of RNAcentral. Lineage: Eukaryota; Metazoa; Arthropoda; Insecta; Hemiptera; Psyllidae.
GCCUUGGUGGUGUAGUGGUCUAGGUGCUUGCCUGAUAAACAGGAGUGUGUGGGUUCAAUCCCAGCCAAGGUA